CUCGAUUUAACAACUCAUCUAAGUUGCCAGGAGGUCUUCCUGCGAUAGAUUCUUUGAACCUACCCGAUUUCAGGUUUUGCUGCAUAAUCCCUGAGAGCAUAUCUUGUCCUACACUGGGAACUUCAUGAACAGCCUCCACGAAACGCCUGAUGUAGUUGCGGAGUGUUUCAUUGUCUCUCUGUACGAUAGAGAAGAGAUGUGCUGGAGUUUUAGCAUAUUGCUUAUUGAUGGC
RNAcentral lists this long non-coding RNA (232 nucleotides) under Erythranthe guttata (spotted monkey flower). Its description in RNAcentral is "long non-coding RNA (EGUT_LNC003495)". Lineage: Eukaryota; Viridiplantae; Streptophyta; Magnoliopsida; Lamiales; Phrymaceae. The record is from RNAcentral.